RNAcentral lists this long non-coding RNA (1395 nucleotides) under Arabidopsis thaliana (thale cress). Its description in RNAcentral is "long non-coding RNA (ATHA_LNC000671)". Lineage: Eukaryota; Viridiplantae; Streptophyta; Magnoliopsida; Brassicales; Brassicaceae. The record is from RNAcentral.
AUGCUUUGAGGCAAUGUCCAACCAAAGAAUUCAAAGAUGAGUAAUCUUGUUUUGCUUUCUUAACACAAAAUGUCUUCUUGCUUUUGUUGUUCUUCUCUCAUCCACAUAUGAAAACUAAGUAGUUAGAUGAUUAGAUUUUUAUAUAUAGUGUGGUCAAUUAUUUUCUCAUAUCUUUUGAGAAGGGUACAAUACUUAUCUUCAAGAUCUGUAUGUUUCUUGGUUUUAAGCCCAUACUAGCUAUACUAGCUUUGAUGUCAUCAUCUUGGUUUCAUUUAUGUCUUUUCUUGAAAUCUAAUUAGCCCUUUUUGAAAUAUCUUACAGAGAAAUAUCAGUGAACUGGAUAAGAUCAUUUGGGGUAAAUUCGAUCAUUUCCCUUAUGAGUAGGCUACAGAGACAAACAUCUUUGAUCUUUCUUUGCAUUUAUUGUCUUAGUAAGGCACUUUGGUUCUUUUCUCUCAUAUUGUCAACUAGCAAUUAAGGUUUUGUCUACCUUACUUUUAUUUCAGACAUAUACAUGGCCUUUAGAUGAGUUUCAGGACCAGAUCUUAGAUAUGUUAGGUAAUAUGACACUUUCAUUGAUUUAAGUUUCCUCAUUAAUAGCUCUUUCUGUCAAUCUAGUGUACGUUUGAUUUAACCCUUUCAAGCUAAGACAAAACUCAUAUCUCUCUCUCUUGAGUCUUGAGACUAAAUCCAAAAAAGGUAAAACUUGGUGGAGCCAAUUUUUGGAAUGUCUCUCUGCUUAUUUUGCUGAAUUUGAGAUCUGUGUUUUUAACUGACCAUAAUGUUUUGUUUUCACUCUCCAAUCAUUUGUCACUCUUUGAGUAACUUUUUCUUAGGUGCAAAAGGUCUCUAAGAAACCCUUUUAAAUUGAUUUGAUCAUGGACUCAACAAGACAUUAUUAUAAGUUUACAUAUCUUUCUCACUCAGUAGAAAUUAUAGAUAAAGAGAGAUCAGAGAUUGAAAUCUUUUUCUUUUACUUUCUUGCAAUCACUGACUAUAAAGAAGAGAUGAUUGUGUGUGAGAAAUCGAGCUGUUGCUGAUCCUUCUUCGUGUUUCGAAACUCUUAGGUUUAGUAGUCUCCAUUGGGAAUCUAGGAACGUAACUCGGUUGUGUCUUGUUCAUGCUGCUUCUUCUGUCUAAAUCACCAGAAACCAUAACAGAUUUAUGACUCUUGCAGCUCAUCAAGAAACCAUUCCCUCCGCUGCUGCUACUCGAUUUCCGUCUCUGCGGUGCUGAUUUAGCGGUAAUAGGGAUUCGAGGAAUCUGAGUAGGUCGGUUUCUUCUUACAGGACUUGUUGCACAUUCUGACAUAACAGAGAAAUCUGCUGCACUUGCUGUCACUAUGCUCCACUCUACGCUUACUUCACUUGGCGCAUAACACGUAGGUGAAGCUGG